This 253-nucleotide ribosomal RNA is filed under the name uncultured bacterium. RNAcentral's name for it is "partial 16S ribosomal RNA". It matches the Rfam family "Bacterial small subunit ribosomal RNA", at positions 524 to 776 of the family's 1533-position model. The record is from RNAcentral.
UACGAAGGGGGCUAGCGUUGCUCGGAAUCACUGGGCGUAAAGCGCACGUAGGCGGCUUGUUAAGUCAGGGGUGAAAUCCUGGAGCUCAACUCCAGAACUGCCUUUGAUACUGGAAAGCUUGAGUGCGGGAGAGGUGAGUGGAACUGCGAGUGUAGAGGUGAAAUUCGUAGAUAUUCGCAAGAACACCAGUGGCGAAGGCGGCUCACUGGCCCGGUACUGACGCUGAGGUGCGAAAGCGUGGGGAGCAAACAGG